CCUCCAAGAACUUUCCACCUUGCUUUUGGGGAGACUCAAACUCACAACCUCUCGGUUGGAAGUGGGGAUUGCUUACCAUCAGAGCAACCCCUAUUCAGUCGAAUGAAUUGCAGAAAUUUAACAUGCAUACAUUAACCCAUACGUAAAAUAUAUCAGUUCCCAAAAUGGAACAUGAAUCAGAUACUCCAACAUGAAUGUAAGAAAAAGAGAAGAAAGCGAGAGAGAAAAAAUUGUAAACCUGUGAGGCGCAGAGGAAAGUAGGCUAAGCAAAAAAUCUAAUGGACUUUUUUGAAAAAAGAAAAGUUUUGACAGAAACAAGAGAAAUAUAUUAUAGUGAUUAGACAAUUUGAUGUACAUUUUUAUAGAGUGACAUAAAAGGAACCAAAAUAUGGUUUUGAGAUAAUUAAGAAAAUAUACAACCUACAUUAAUACUAUAAUUACUACUAUAAGAACGAAACUGAAAUGUUAAAUUUUACAGUCUGCAUUAGCAUUAUUAGUACAGAGUUGAAACUGAAAUAUGAAAACAACUUCUUUUCUCUACAGGUUUAGAUCAUCUUCUUUAUAUUAUACAUGCAUUACUAUUACAGUUUUUCUUACCAGCUUGUUGAGACUGUUAAGGUUCUUAUAACAGUCCAACCAUUACAUCUAAUUAAUAGAGCAAAUAAAAAGCUUUAAACAAUUUCAGUUUAUGGCCAUCUGAACGGCCAUAUUAUUAUUUCCUUGUAUUUUACUUGUUCCUUUGUUGUUAUUUUUAUCUAUAUUUAAAUUAUGCAUAAAAAUAUUCUUGAAU
This 790-nucleotide long non-coding RNA is filed under the name Nicotiana benthamiana. RNAcentral's name for it is "long non-coding RNA (NBEN_LNC016809)". The record is from RNAcentral. Lineage: Eukaryota; Viridiplantae; Streptophyta; Magnoliopsida; Solanales; Solanaceae.